RNAcentral lists this long non-coding RNA (1033 nucleotides) under Heterocephalus glaber (naked mole-rat). RNAcentral describes it as "lncRNA (ENSHGLG00100051816.1)". The record is from RNAcentral. Lineage: Eukaryota; Metazoa; Chordata; Mammalia; Rodentia; Bathyergidae.
GGGGACCAUGGUGCUGCGGAAGCCUCCUCCGCGGGCGUGAAGGCGGCGCUUCCACUCCCUCCCCGGGCUUCGAGGUGCACUAACCAGCUGCUGCUGGAAGAGGCAUUUGGAGAUGGAUAACCCAACACCUUUGCUCUUCUCAUCCCUUCUUUGCACAAGCAGGGAAAGGAUGAGUCUGCUCUGGGAUCCUCUCCUGAGAUGGGCCUAGGCUGGGCUGCCUGUCCCUAGGCAAGAACAAAGAUCAUUUUAGGGGCAGGUGACUUAACAUCUCUGAGCCGCAAAUUCUUCCUUUGCAAAAGAGACAUACCUACAUCAGAGCACUGUCAUGAGAAGCCCAGUGAGGAAUUAUGGCAAAGACUGAAUGCUGUAUUGGCACGAAGGAAAUGUUGGAGAAACGGCAGCUAUUACUGUCAUCAUUGUGGCUGGCAGAUCCCCCUACUCCUACCUGAGGCUUAGGGCAGUAUUGUUAAGACUAAUUUAGUUCCCAGAAAAGAUGUGUUAAUUGGAUUAUUACAUUUUUCCUGUGUUUACACUAUAUGUACAUGCAUGACUUUGAAAUCUACACAGUUAUAUACUUAUCCAUUGAAUUCUCUCUUUUAAAAAUGUGUAAGAAUUGCAUUUUUGAGUCAUUGAACUAUAAUGAAAUUGUUUUUUCACAGAAAGAAUGUUACAAGUAAUCAUCAUAUAGGCCACCAAAAUGGAGAAUAAUGUAGAAAUGGAAGUUAAGAGAAAACCAAAAGAGAGACCUAAUGUUAAUACGUGGCCAGAAUGCAUAUUUUUAUAGCCUGAUUAUUUAAAAAUACUGGCGUUUGCUUGUACUGUUUAGGGUUGGAUGAUACAAAUGAAGCUGUUUGGGAUUGGAAUAAAUAUUUUUUUGACUAAUGCUAUAACUUGUAGACUUGUAAUCAGGAGUGGCUUAUCAGCAGCUUUUCAAAAUGUGACAUUGUACAUGGAAUGCCCCCAUGGAGGAAAUUGAACGCUCUGUUAAUGCUUUUACAGUUGAAUUCCACACACAUGAAUUAUGACAAGUGAG